Molecule: small nucleolar RNA, 104 nt
Filed under: Dasypus novemcinctus (nine-banded armadillo)
Lineage: Eukaryota; Metazoa; Chordata; Mammalia; Cingulata; Dasypodidae
Description: Small nucleolar RNA U13 (ENSDNOG00000043392.1)
Rfam family: Small nucleolar RNA U13
Source: RNAcentral
AUCCUUUUGUGGUUCAUAAACGUGAUGAAUGGGUGAUCACGUGCUCGUGUGAGGUGUGCCUCCCUCCAACCUUGUUACAACGUUGGCACAUUACCCGUCUGCCC